Molecule: ribosomal RNA, 497 nt
Filed under: uncultured bacterium
Lineage: Bacteria
Description: partial 16S ribosomal RNA
Rfam family: Bacterial small subunit ribosomal RNA
Source: RNAcentral
GAUGAACGCUGGCGGCGUGCCUAAUACAUGCAAGUCGAGCGAACAGACGAGGAGCUUGCUCCUCUGACGUUAGCGGCGGACGGGUGGGUAACACGUGGAUAACCUACCUAUAAGACUGGGAUAACUUCGGGAAACCGGAGCUAAUACCGGAUAAUAUAUUGAACCGCAUGGUUCAAUAGUGAAAGACGGUUUUGCUGUCACUUAUAGAUGGAUCCGCGCCGCAUUAGCUAGUUGGUAAGGUAACGGCUUACCAAGGCGACGAUGCGUAGCCGACCUGAGAGGGGGAUCGGCCACACUGGAACUGAGACACGGUCCAGACUCCUACGGGAGGCAGCAGUAGGGAAUCUUCCGCAAUGGGCGAAAGCAUGACGGAGCAACGCCGCGUGAGUGAUGAAGGUCUUCGGAUCGUAAAACUCUGUUAUUAGGGAAGAACAAAUGUGUAAGUAACUAUGCACGUCUUGACGGUACCUAAUCAGAAAGCCACGGCUAACUACGUG